Molecule: ribosomal RNA, 443 nt
Filed under: uncultured bacterium
Lineage: Bacteria
Description: partial 16S ribosomal RNA
Rfam family: Bacterial small subunit ribosomal RNA
Source: RNAcentral
CCUACGGGUGGCUGCAGUGGGGAAUAUUGGGCAAUGGGCGCAAGCCUGACGCAGCAACGCCGCGUGGAGGAAGAAGGCUUUCGGGUCGUAAACUUCUAUUCUGAGGGACGAAGAAGGUGACGGUACCUCAGGAAUAAGCCACUGCUAACGACGUGCCAGCCGCCGCGGUAAUACGUAGGUGGCAAGCGUUAGCCGGAUUUAUUGGGUGUAAAGGGGGUGGAGGCGGGAAAGCAAGUCAGAUGUGAAAACCCCGGGCUCAACCCUGGGCCUGCAUUUGAAACUGUUUUUCUUGAGUGCUGGAGAGGCAAUCGGAAUUCCGGGUGUAGCGGUGAAAUGCGUAGAUAUCCGGAGGAACACCAGUGGCGAAGGCGGAUUGCUGGACCGUAACUGACGCUGAGGCGCGAAAGCGUGGGGAGCAAACAGGAUUAGAUACCCGAGUAGUC